Long non-coding RNA from Cucurbita moschata (crookneck pumpkin), 323 nucleotides. RefSeq lists it as uncharacterized. The record is from RefSeq and is a predicted model, not a curated record. The transcript has 2 exons. Lineage: Eukaryota; Viridiplantae; Streptophyta; Magnoliopsida; Cucurbitales; Cucurbitaceae.
UGCUCAUCUCUUCAUAUUUCUCUCUAUUUUUUCUCCUCCACUUCUUUCAUUUUCUUCCCGAAUUCGUGUUCUUCCACCAAACUGAUACCGAUCAAGACGACGAUCAUGGUAGCCUGCUAUCAAUCCAGUUGGAACCAUCUCAACCAGGUAGCCCCUACCCUAAAAAAAUUAAAAUAACUUGAAAAAAAAAAUUAGUCAUAAUAAAAAUGGCUCAAAAUUAGGAUCGAAUAUAUUGCAUUAUUGUAACGAUUCAUGUUCAAGAUUCAGAUUAGGAUUUGAAAUCCAGAUUCGGUACUUGAUGGACCCGACAUUCUCCUGCGACA